UGGGGAAUUUUGGACAAUGGGCGCAAGCCUGAUCCAGCCAAUGCCGCGUGAGUGAAGAAGGCCUUCGGGUUGUAAAGCUCUUUUGUCAGGGAAGAAACGGUGAGGGCUAAUAUCCUUUGCUAAUGACGGUACCUGAAGAAUAAGCACCGGCUAACUACGUG
This 161-nucleotide ribosomal RNA is filed under the name monochloroacetic-acid-degrading bacterium 'Band D'. RNAcentral describes it as "partial 16S ribosomal RNA". It matches the Rfam family "Bacterial small subunit ribosomal RNA", at positions 355 to 507 of the family's 1533-position model. Lineage: Bacteria; Pseudomonadati; Pseudomonadota; Betaproteobacteria. The record is from RNAcentral.